RNAcentral lists this ribosomal RNA (253 nucleotides) under uncultured bacterium. Its description in RNAcentral is "partial 16S ribosomal RNA". It matches the Rfam family "Bacterial small subunit ribosomal RNA", at positions 524 to 776 of the family's 1533-position model. The record is from RNAcentral.
UACGAAGGGGGCUAGCGUUGUUCGGAGUUACUGGGCGUAAAGGGCGCGUAGGCGGCGCACCAAGUCAGGCGUGAAAGCCCUGGGCUCAACCCGGGAAUUGCGCUUGAGACUGGUGUGCUCGAGUACGGGAGAGGAUAGUGGAAUUCCCAGUGUAGAGGUGAAAUUCGUAGAUAUUGGGAAGAACACCGGUGGCGAAGGCGGCUCACUGGCUCGUAACUGACGCUCAUGCACGACAGCGUGGGGAUCAAACAGG